AAAUCACACUAAUCCGUGCAUACACGUGUAUUGCACACUGAUGAAAUUGCUCAUUAAAAAGAUUAUUUAUAAUUACAUUUAUAGUUAUUUGUGAGGUGACUUUUUUUUUCUUUAGACAUAUGAUCAGUUCAUUGUUACGUGCUUGGGUACAACGCCAACAACGUUUCAGCAGCACGUGGACCUGUGAACGCGGGAGAACAGCAGAGCGUGCAGACCUGGUCCCAUGAUCGGCCUAAUAAUUAAAGCUAUCCUGCAACCGGCGCCGUACUGCUGUGCUGCAUGCGCAUCAGGGGCCCAUGACAUGAUACAGAGGGACAGCUUAACUAUUAAAUAUCCAUCACGCCACGCCACAUCAGUCCUAAUGCAAUCAGAAACACAUGACUACAUCGCCCGGGCCCCCACUUCAAUCCACAAUGAUUAAAUGACAGUUCGAUUUGAUUGGGAAGAGGGGGGAUCUACUGUAGCUGCGCAGACUUAUUCGAGGCUUUGUGUACUUCAGAGAGAACGCACGUGGGCUGUGGUCUUUUUGCUGUAUUAUCAUUUUAAUGAAGCAGGGUAUUUCUUUUGUGGUCGGGAGGCUCUAAUGCAGUUGUCCAAGACUCCCCUUUCAUCUGUCUUCUUCAAAUGCUCGAGGUUGUUAAACAAAUGGAUGUGUCUGAGUAUAUAACGCUGAUGUGGCCAGGCUGUUGUUGACUGGGCCAAUUAGGGCUCAGAGAGAAAAGAAUAAGGCAUGUCUGUUCACUCACUCAAACCGUCAUACAAUACAGUCUGGCUGCUUUGUGUUUAUUAAAAUCACCUGGAUCCUUAAGGAUUUUGUAGAACACACCGUAGUAUGACAUUGCUAUCUGACGAUUUUCAUUAUCAGGACUUCCUGUACUGUUUUUAUCUUGCUAAUUAGCAUCUAAUUAUAAUAAAAAUGUUUUCCUCCUACCUGAUAUGUCAUGAAUUACCCGAUACCGUUGUCUCCGUGUUUAAAUGAGUGAGCAUCUUUAGAAAAAUGUUUAAUUUUAC
Molecule: long non-coding RNA, 1011 nt
Organism: Cyprinus carpio carpio
Lineage: Eukaryota; Metazoa; Chordata; Actinopteri; Cypriniformes; Cyprinidae
Source: Ensembl